RNAcentral lists this unclassified non-coding RNA (336 nucleotides) under soil metagenome. RNAcentral describes it as "partial contains 5.8S ribosomal RNA, internal transcribed spacer 2, and large subunit ribosomal RNA". The stretch from base 1 to 120 matches the Rfam family "5.8S ribosomal RNA", at positions 35 to 154 of the family's 154-position model. The record is from RNAcentral.
GAUGAAGAACGUAGCGAAAUGCGAUAAGUAAUGUGAAUUGCAGAAUUCAGUGAAUCAUCGAAUCUUUGAACGCACAUUGCGCCCGCCAGUAUUCUGGCGGGCAUGCCUGUUCGAGCGUCAUUUCAACCAUCAAGCCCCAGGCUUGAGUUGGGGACCUGCGGCUGCCGCAGGCCCUGAAAACCAGUGGCGGGCUCGCUGUCACACCGGGCGUAGUAGAUUUUAUCUCGCUCAGGGCGUGCUGCGGGUCCCGGCCGUUAAAAGCCUUUUUUUACCCAAGGUUGACCUCGGAUCAGGUAGGAAGACCCGCUGAACUUAAGCAUAUCAAUAAGCGGAGGA